Mya arenaria is the source of this 552-nucleotide long non-coding RNA. RefSeq lists it as uncharacterized. Lineage: Eukaryota; Metazoa; Mollusca; Bivalvia; Myida; Myidae. The transcript is spliced from 3 exons. The record is from RefSeq and is a predicted model, not a curated record.
AGUAUGUGUAUAGAUGAAUGACUGGACAUUUUCAGCCGUAUCGAUUGUGACGAUAUAAAAUAUUGGAUCUGAUCGAAAUAUUGGAACUAAACUCGGUGCAUUUGAGUGAAGGACAUAGAACUGAAACAAUCGUAGACAUGUGCUUCAAAGUACAGUGUGAAAAAUGCCAGAAAUAUACUUGGAAAGGGUGUGGGAACCACAUCGAAAGGGUGUUGAAGGAUGUACCGGAAGACCAGCGAUGUAAGUGUCCGAGGGACUAGCACUUGUGCGCAGUUUAUCUCAGGAUUUCCGGACAUUUAUUUGGCCAUGGAGUCUUAGUGUCAUUCUACAGCAAAUCUCUAUUAAGUUGCUCACCCCUCCUCUGAGCCAGUUUUGCAAUGUAUUUAUUAUUUUUAUUUUUUUUUAAUUUCUAAAUAAUAAAUGUUAGAAAGGCCCUGCUUUUUAAAACAAACGGGAUGUAUUAUACACAAUGCUGCAAGGGAGUAAGCUUUGCAUAAAUCAUUCAUCGUUAGAAAAUGAGUUGUCUUUCUUGAUAUUAGUUUAAACUGCAUA